GGGGACGUAGCUCAGUUGGGAGAGCGCUAGAAUCGCACUCUAGAGGCCGGGAGUUCGAAUCUCCUCGUCUCCACCA
RNAcentral lists this transfer RNA (76 nucleotides) under Bacillota bacterium. RNAcentral's name for it is "tRNA-Ala". It matches the Rfam family "tRNA". From Rfam's summary of the family: Transfer RNA (tRNA) molecules are approximately 80 nucleotides in length. Their secondary structure includes four short double-helical elements and three loops (D, anti-codon, and T loops). Lineage: Bacteria; Bacillati; Bacillota. The record is from RNAcentral.